GGACCCGUGGCGAAAUGGUAUCGCGUCUGAUUCCAGCUUUGGAGCAUCCAGAAGAUUGCCGGUUCGAUUCCGGUCGGGUUCA
Molecule: non-coding RNA, 82 nt
Organism: Eremomyces bilateralis CBS 781.70
Lineage: Eukaryota; Fungi; Ascomycota; Dothideomycetes; Eremomycetales; Eremomycetaceae
Source: the annotation of a RefSeq genome assembly